GCCAGUGUUAUUUUCUUAACCCACAUAAUGGCUUAUUAGUUGUAAUCUAAGUUGGGGCUCCAAUGGGCAAUUGCCUUGGCAUCUGCCAGUACAAGCUGAACAAAAACCUCAUUCAGUAGCAUUCUCAGCAAAAUUAGGGCCAAGGCCCCGAAAGCGAAAAGACGCUACCCUACAGGAAAACGGAGAAGCCAAGAGCUUCAUCAGUGUCCUGAAUAAGAAAACUACGACAUUCCGCUAUUGGAAGGUACAACAAAUGCAUCCCAACACCAAACACAUGCGCCAACUUAGCUAAGCAAUCUGCCACUAAAUUCGUCGCUGCACCUACCUAUGUGGUGGUGGUGGUUAUGAGUCGGUGACUUAAAGAAGAAGAAAGAUGGCACUGUGGCUUCACGAUGAAAGGGCAGGGAAUACGACAUCAGAGACGGCUUUAUGAUUGAGAUUAACAGCGACUGUGAUGGUCGAAGAUAGCUUCACAGGUGAGAGUGAGAAGGGAGAGAGAUGUUGGAUGAGUGAUAACAACUCACCUAGAUGA
Long non-coding RNA from Lotus japonicus, 532 nucleotides. RefSeq lists it as uncharacterized. The transcript has 3 exons. NCBI's taxonomy places the organism in Eukaryota, Viridiplantae, Streptophyta, Magnoliopsida, Fabales, Fabaceae. The record is from RefSeq and is a predicted model, not a curated record.